UCGGGAAUUUUGGGCAAUGGGCGAAAGCCUGACCCAGCAACGCCGCGUGAGGGAUGAAGUAUUUCGGUAUGUAAACCUCGAAAGAAUGGGAAGAAUAAAUGACGGUACCAUUUAUAAGCUCCGGCUAACUACGUGCCAGCAGCCGCGGUAAUACGUAGGGAGCAAGCGUUGUUCGGAUUUACUGGGCGUAAAGGGCGCGUAGGCGGCGCGGUAAGUCACUUGUGAAAUCUCUGCGCAUAACUCAGAACGGCCAAGUGAUACUGCUAUGCUAGCGGGCUGAAGAGGCAACCGGAAUUCUUGGGGUAGCGGUGAAAUGCGUAGAUAUCAAGAGGAACACCUGAGGCGAAGGCGGGUUGCUGGGCCGACACUGACGCUGAUGCGCGAAAGCCAGGGG
Molecule: ribosomal RNA, 394 nt
Filed under: uncultured bacterium
Lineage: Bacteria
Description: bacterial SSU rRNA
Rfam family: Bacterial small subunit ribosomal RNA
Source: RNAcentral